CUUGCUGUACAGACCUCUACCAUGCCGGCUGGCUAGGUUGCUCUAAGCGGGAUAUUGGAAACCUACACCCCAUUUGGGACAGACUGUGGGUUCCAUUGGGACUGCAGCCUAGGCCUGGAAAGUGCCCUUUCUCCACAGGCAUUCCAGGCUAGCAGCCAACCUGCUGCAGCUGAGCUGCUCAGAACCAUCCACGCAGCUCAGAGACAGUUUCUAGCUGCCUAGAGGUGAGUAAGCCUCGGCUUUCAGCAGAGGCUUCCCCUGGCGGCAGCUUCGGGAAAGUGAAUCUGUUUCAGUGGUUGCAGCCGCAAAGCCUUAUACUCCCUAAGAUAAGCGCAGCCGUUUUUGUGACCUCUCUCCACCGCUGACCGACUGCUGCUAAACGCCUCGGACUCACUGAACACCUGUGGCACCCACUGGUCAAAGAUAUUUACUGCAUCUGGAGUAGAAAUCAGGUAAAAUUAUGGCGGAAUAUUUAUCAUUUGCUAAAAUUGGUAAUAUUUUUGCAUAUUAUGUGAAUUCACUGAGGAGGAUGCUAAUUUGCCAAUUACAGGCUUAUAUGCUGUAAUGGCAGUUAGCUUGCUGGUACAAAUAGUAUUACUAGCCAGAGGACUCAGGAACAGGGACAGAGAUAACCUCACCACCUGCUUGCAGGAAAUAACAGCUUUACACAAUGAGGUUUUGGAAAACAGAUUAGGUCAGACCUUGACUUUGCAGCAAGUGGAACAGAAAUUGGAUGAUAAGCUUGGCUCUGUGUCCAAUACACUAAAGACAGAGCUGUCUGAUGAGAUGCAGCAUAUUUAUGAUAAGAUAAACACAGAGAGAUCCUCCAUGUCUGAGGCCUUAGAGGCUAGGCUGUCAGAAGACCAUGACCAGCUAAAGAAUAUCUGUAGCCAGCUAGAAACUCAGAUAGGCAAUGUUACUCAUCAACUAGAUGCAACGGUGCAAAAUACCCAGCAUAGGGUUGAAGAAUUGGACAAUGCCAUUCAAUCAGUUAUUGAAGCAUCCAAGGUAGCAGAUCAGAAAUUUGAGUCUAGAUUUGAAUGUUUGGAAAAUAAUUUACAGUACAGGGCUGACAGAUUACAUAGGUCCAUACGGUCGAUUGCUGAGGACUCAAAAUCAGCAAAUCAUGACCUCGAAUCUAGACUCCAAUACCUAGAAGGCAGUUUCCAUGCCAUCCAGAUGCUGCCUAAGGAUGAUCAUAUUAAAGACCUAGAAAAACAUGUAGAUGAGCAGUUAGAGCAAUUUACAGAUUCACUAAUGUGCUUGGAAUCUUUUAUGAUUAAGGAGAUUGAAACUUUUCAAAAGGAUAACAUUGCUAGGCUUAAAGAUCAUUGGGAUACCUCAGAAGCAGAAUCACUCCAAUCCCAGGCAUCUACUCCACCCAGGUAUCAUGACUUUUCUUCUAAGGUUGUUACUUGUACACCAUUAGUGUACCCAAUUAUCAUGGUAGAAAAGCCAGCUUCUAAGAAACACCCUCAUGGACAGAUGGCUUAUGAAUGGCAACCUAUACAGCUGAAUGAUCUUAAGAAUAUUAAAGAAUCAGUUGUCUCAUAUGGUUUCCAUAGCCCAUAUGUAAAACAGCUAUUACAUUCAUGGGCAACCUUUAACAUGGUGACACCCACAGAUUGGGAACGACUGGUAGCAGCUGUACUUGAGAAUUCAUGCCAAAUCCAGUGGAAGGCAUUAGUAAGGGAAGAGGCAAAGCUCCUUGAGUGUCAGGGCAUAAAGGAAGGUUUUGAAGCCCCUCUAGAUAAACUUCUUGGUCAGGGUAUUUAUGCUGACCCACAGGUUCAGGCUAAAUAUGAUGACGAUAUACUGUCUCUAAGCAGGAAAGCAGUAUUAAAUGCCUGGGAUAAGGUUCGUGAGCCAGGAGAAUGCCUAGAAGCUUAUACCAGAAUAGAACAGGGACAUACAGAACAGUUCCAGGAUUUCUUAUAAAGGUUAACUAGGGCAGUAGAAUUACAGGUAACAGAUCCAGAAACAAGACAAUCAAUUAUAUAUACAAUAGCUUAUGAGAAUGCAAACCCAAUAUGCAAAAGAAUACUUUUAUCUUUAAAUCAGAUCAGCUCCGCUAGAAGAAUGGGUUUUGUAUGUAGCCAACAUUGAUUAUAAUGUACAAGAUACUGGAGCUUGGAUAGGAGAAGCCAUUUCAAAAGGUUUAAAAAGGCAACAGGAAAUUCAAAGUUCUAGAGGUGAGGAUGUAAGGGCUUGGCAAGGAGAAGCACCUUACAAAGGUAAACAUAGGUACCAAGAGGCUAGAUGUUACUACUACUAUGAACCAGAACCUUGGGGAGGAAGAGACUUCCCCUGGAGACCAUGAAGGCUCCAGGAACCUAGAUGUUUCAACUGUGGUAAAAUGGGCAUACUAAGAGGAAAUUUUAGACAAACAAAUUCUAACAAUGCCUCAUAUGGAAGGCCACUGCCUUCUGGAUUGUGUAGAAGAUGUGGUAAGGGCAGACACUGGACCAAUGAAUGUAGAUCAACCAGGUACAUACAAGGAAACCCAUUAAGGUUGGGAAACCCCGAGGGGGGGGCUCAAGAAGUCCCCCACAUCGAGAAAGGUCGGGUCAUUCCCAGUAACAGUGGGAGACAAUCUUGCCCAGGAACAAUAGAUAGUUCAUUGCGUAUUGUGAAAAAAACAUACUGCUCUGGAUGGUAUUUUGAAUAAUGAUGAAGAAUCAAGUGUGAAUGGAAAAAAUGAGAAACGCAUAUUUUGGCAAGCUUCUAUUAAUGAUAAAAGGCCUCAGUUGAAAGUGAAUAUUAAUAAUAAAGUUAUUUCUGGCUUAGGGGACACUGGGGUGGUUGUAACUAUUAUUACUCAAAAGUCUUGGACUCAGAAAUGGUCUCUUAGAGAGGCAAAUGUACAAUUUUUAGGAAUUGGAACUCUAUCUAGAGUUCGACAGAGUGUUAACUCAGUGGUCUGCAUUGGACCGGAAGGACAGAAAGGGAUACUGAAACCAUACAUGGCAGAUAUAGCUAUAAAUCUCUGGGGUCAUGAUCUCUUACAGCAAUGGAAUACUCAGAUUAAUAUUCCUCCAGUGUUGGAUACAAGUUAUGUACAAUCUUUAGAUAGUAGAAAAGAUCUGGUAAGACACUAUGGAAAACGGUUAC
This 3111-nucleotide long non-coding RNA is filed under the name Cricetulus griseus (Chinese hamster). RNAcentral's name for it is "lncRNA (ENSCGRG00015033577.1)". The record is from RNAcentral. Lineage: Eukaryota; Metazoa; Chordata; Mammalia; Rodentia; Cricetidae.